UUAAUCUUACGACAUGUGUAAAGGUAUAGCCAACACUCUUAUUUGGAACAGUUUUCUGUUGAGCAUGUGGGAGCUAAAAUAGCAGACAUUCAAACAAGCAGGGCCCUUUGCCUCCCCCACACACAAAGCAAUAAAAUUUACAUUCCGAGGGGGGAAGAGACUUUUUGGCGCCAGGGAUCUCCCGUACCAGAUAGAGAUGAGCACGAAGUGGUCCGCCCUUUUGCUUAGACAAAAACCAGACACCUUUGCCAUAAUGAGGGGAGUUUCCAAGUUUUUUUGAGUCCCUACGGAGUUUCUAAUAGGUCAAAGAACGGAACGCCUUGACUGCAUAUAUUAAAUAGGGAAACACCUCUUUACUUUAAGAUUCCCACGCCAGAAAAUGAGUUAGUGUUUUUA
This is a long non-coding RNA of Xiphophorus couchianus (Monterrey platyfish), 396 nucleotides long. RefSeq lists it as uncharacterized. NCBI's taxonomy places the organism in Eukaryota, Metazoa, Chordata, Actinopteri, Cyprinodontiformes, Poeciliidae. The record is from RefSeq and is a predicted model, not a curated record. The transcript has 4 exons.